AGGGGUGUGGGCUCAGUGGUAGAGUACUUGCCUAGAAUGCAUGAGGCCCCAGGUUCAAUCCCCAGCACCACAC
RNAcentral lists this transfer RNA (73 nucleotides) under Marmota marmota marmota (Alpine marmot). It matches the Rfam family "tRNA". From Rfam's summary of the family: Transfer RNA (tRNA) molecules are approximately 80 nucleotides in length. Their secondary structure includes four short double-helical elements and three loops (D, anti-codon, and T loops). Further hydrogen bonds mediate the characteristic L-shaped molecular structure. tRNAs have two regions of fundamental functional importance: the anti-codon, which is responsible for specific mRNA codon recognition, and the 3' end, to which the tRNAs corresponding amino acid is attached (by aminoacyl-tRNA synthetases). tRNAs cope with the degeneracy of the genetic code in two manners: having more than one tRNA (with a specific anti-codon) for a particular amino acid; and 'wobble' base-pairing, i.e. permitting non-standard base-pairing at the 3rd anti-codon position. Lineage: Eukaryota; Metazoa; Chordata; Mammalia; Rodentia; Sciuridae. RNAcentral also lists the same sequence under 3 other names. The record is from Rfam by way of RNAcentral.